This 824-nucleotide ribosomal RNA is filed under the name uncultured Helicobacter sp. Its description in RNAcentral is "bacterial SSU rRNA". It matches the Rfam family "Bacterial small subunit ribosomal RNA", at positions 562 to 1383 of the family's 1533-position model. The record is from RNAcentral. Lineage: Bacteria; Pseudomonadati; Campylobacterota; Epsilonproteobacteria; Campylobacterales; Helicobacteraceae.
AAAGAGCGCGUAGGCGGGGUAGUAAGUCAGAUGUGAAAUCCUAUGGCUUAACCAUAGAACUGCAUUUGAAACUACUACUCUAGAGUAUGGGAGAGGUAGGUGGAAUUCUUGGUGUAGGGGUAAAAUCCGUAGAGAUCAAGAGGAAUACUCAUUGCGAAGGCGACCUGCUGGAACAUUACUGACGCUGAUGCGCGAAAGCGUGGGGAGCAAACAGGAUUAGAUACCCUGGUAGUCCACGCCCUAAACGAUGAAUGCUAGUUGUUGUGGAGCUUGUCUCUGCAGUAAUGCAGCUAACGCAUUAAGCAUUCCGCCUGGGGAGUACGGUCGCAAGAUUAAAACUCAAAGGAAUAGACGGGGACCCGCACAAGCGGUGGAGCAUGUGGUUUAAUUCGAAGAUACGCGAAGAACCUUACCUAGGCUUGACAUUGAUAGAAUCUGCUAGAGAUAGCGGAGUGCUGGCUUGCCAGAGCUUGAAAACAGGUGCUGCACGGCUGUCGUCAGCUCGUGUCGUGAGAUGUUGGGUUAAGUCCCGCAACGAGCGCAACCCUCGUCCUUAGUUGCUAACAGUUCGGCUGAGCACUCUAGGGAGACUGCCUUCGUAAGGAGGAGGAAGGUGAGGACGACGUCAAGUCAUCAUGGCCCUUACGCCUAGGGCUACACACGUGCUACAAUGGGAUGCACAAAGAGACGCAAUACCGCGAGGUGGAGCAAAUCUCAAAAACAUCUCUCAGUUCGGAUUGUAGUCUGCAACUCGACUACAUGAAGCUGGAAUCGCUAGUAAUCGUGAAUCAGCCAUGUCACGGUGAAUACGUUCCCGGGUCUUG